Molecule: long non-coding RNA, 179 nt
Organism: Telopea speciosissima
Lineage: Eukaryota; Viridiplantae; Streptophyta; Magnoliopsida; Proteales; Proteaceae
Exons: 3
Source: RefSeq, a predicted model, not a curated record
CAUGUUUUAAUAAAAAGGAAGGAUAAGGUGACAAAGAAGCAAGAGUUCAGAAAUUAGACUGAUGGCCUAUGGGAUUACCUCAACUAAGAUGAGUUAAAUAAAUGAAGCAUAAUCACAAUUCAUCUUUCAGUUUCCCUUUAUGGUUGAUAAUUCACAGUAACCAAGAUAGAAUUGAAUGA